AAAAAGGAAGAAGAGGAAGAGUGGGAUGAAGAUAACGAGAAGGAGGAUGAAGAUGCAGGGAACGAAGAAGACGACUGGCAGGAGAACGAGGAGCUGAGGGCAAUCGAGGGACUGGAGGGAGUUGCUCCUUUGAAGCCAGAGUUCUCCGGACCCAAGGAGAAGAUCGUACCCAUUCCUGAUGGAAGCUCCUUCUUCAUUCUUGGAAAGAAAAACUGGUAAUC
This is a long non-coding RNA of Cynoglossus semilaevis (tongue sole), 221 nucleotides long. RefSeq lists it as uncharacterized. The record is from RefSeq and is a predicted model, not a curated record. The transcript has 3 exons. NCBI's taxonomy places the organism in Eukaryota, Metazoa, Chordata, Actinopteri, Pleuronectiformes, Cynoglossidae.